UACAGAGGUGGCAAGCGUUGUUCGGAAUUACUGGGCGUAAAGGGCGCGUAGGCGGCCUUCUAAGUCAGACGUGAAAUCCCCCGGCUUAACCUGGGAACUGCGUCUGAUACUGGAAGGCUUGAGUGCGGGAGAGGGAUGUGGAAUUCCAGGUGUAGCGGUGAAAUGCGUAGAUAUCUGGAGGAACACCGGUGGCGAAGGCGGCAUCCCGGACCGACACUGACGCUGAGGCGCGAAAGCUAGGGUAGCAAACGGG
This 253-nucleotide ribosomal RNA is filed under the name uncultured bacterium. RNAcentral describes it as "partial 16S ribosomal RNA". It matches the Rfam family "Bacterial small subunit ribosomal RNA", at positions 524 to 776 of the family's 1533-position model. The record is from RNAcentral.